RNAcentral lists this ribosomal RNA (1366 nucleotides) under metagenome. RNAcentral's name for it is "bacterial SSU rRNA". It matches the Rfam family "Bacterial small subunit ribosomal RNA", at positions 8 to 1372 of the family's 1533-position model. The record is from RNAcentral.
AGAGUUUGAUCCUGGCUCAGGAUGAACGCUAGCGGCAGGCCUAACACAUGCAAGUCGAGGGGUAACAGGGAGCUUGCUCCGCUGACGACCGGCGCACGGGUGCGCACCGCGUAUGGAACCUACCUUCUACAGGGGAAUAGCCUUUGGAAACGAAGAUUAAUGCCCCAUAGUAUCAUUAUACAGCAUUGUAUUUUGAUUAAAGGCUUCGGCCGGUGGAAGAUGGCCAUGCGUCCCAUUAGUUUGUUGGUAAGGUAACGGCUUACCAAGGCUACGAUGGGUAGGGGCCCUGAGAGGGGGAUCCCCCACACUGGUACUGAGACACGGACCAGACUCCUACGGGAGGCAGCAGUGAGGAGUAUUUGACAAUGGAGGGGACUCUGAUCCAGCCAUGCCGCGUGCAGGAAGAAUGCCCUAUGGGUAGUAAACUGCUUUUAUACGGGAAGAAAAAGGGCUACGUGUAGCCUGUUGACGGUACCGUAAGAAUAAGGACCGGCUAACUCCGUGCCAGCAGCCGCGGUAAUACGGAGGGUCCGAGCGUUAUCCGGAAUUAUUGGGUUUAAAGGGUCCGUAGGCGGGCAGUUAAGUCAGAGGUGAAAGUUUGCAGCUCAACUGUAAAAUUGCCUUUGAUACUGGUUGUCUUGAGUUAUAGUGAAGUUGCCGGAAUAUGUAGUGUAGCGGUGAAAUGCAUAGAUAUUACAUAGAACACCGAUUGCGAAGGCAGGUGACUAACUGUAUACUGACGCUGAUGGACGAAAGCGUGGGGAGCGAACAGGAUUAGAUACCCUGGUAGUCCACGCCGUAAACGAUGGAUACUAGCUGUCCGGGUCCUUGAGACCUGGGCGGCCAAGCGAAAGUGAUAAGUAUCCCACCUGGGGAGUACGUUCGCAAGAAUGAAACUCAAAGGAAUUGACGGGGGCCCGCACAAGCGGUGGAGCAUGUGGUUUAAUUCGAUGAUACGCGAGGAACCUUACCAGGGCUUAAAUGCAUAUUGACAGGGCCAGAGAUGGCUUUUCCUUCGGGCAAUUUGCAAGGUGCUGCAUGGUUGUCGUCAGCUCGUGCCGUGAGGUGUCAGUUUAAGUCCUAUAACGAGCGCAACCCCUACCGUUAGUUGCCAACAUGUCAUGAUGGGGACUCUAACGGGACUGCCGGUGCAAACCGUGAGGAAGGUGGGGAUGACGUCAAAUCAUCACGGCCCUUACGUCCUGGGCCACACACGUGCUACAAUGGCCGGUACAGAGAGCAGCCACCUCGCAAGGGGGAGCGAAUCUACAAAACCGGUCACAGUUCGGAUCGGGGUCUGCAACUCGACCCCGUGAAGCUGGAAUCGCUAGUAAUCGGAUAUCAGCCAUGAUCCGGUGAAUACGUU